ACUGUAUAAUCCCUGCGGGGGAAAGAUUUAUCGCUAUUAGAUGAGCCUAUGUCAGAUUAGCUAGUUGGUGGGGUAAUGGCCUACCAAGGCGGUGAUCUGUAGCUGGUCUGAGAGGAUGAUCAGCCACACUGGAACUGAGACACGGUCCAGACUCCUACGGGAGGCAGCAGUGGGGAAUAUUGGACAAUGGGCGCAAGCCUGAUCCAGCUAUGCCGCGUGAGUGAGGAAGGCCUUAGGGUUGUAAAACUCUUUCAGUAGGGAAG
Molecule: ribosomal RNA, 263 nt
Filed under: Anaplasma sp. Ibadan_A43
Lineage: Bacteria; Pseudomonadati; Pseudomonadota; Alphaproteobacteria; Rickettsiales; Anaplasmataceae
Also listed under: 5 other names
Description: partial 16S ribosomal RNA
Rfam family: Bacterial small subunit ribosomal RNA
Source: RNAcentral